Molecule: long non-coding RNA, 719 nt
Organism: Dreissena polymorpha
Lineage: Eukaryota; Metazoa; Mollusca; Bivalvia; Myida; Dreissenidae
Exons: 3
Source: RefSeq, a predicted model, not a curated record
AUAUCAAGGACCCAGUUGUAGCAGCAUAUUUCGCAGAUAUUUUUGUUGACAACUCCUCAUCAAUUACAUACAGGACAUACGAUAUUCUAAACAACUAUCCAUUCUCAACCAAGGCGACGGAAGAUAUUACAAUCCUUGAAAGUUUAAUCAAACGGUUGGAAAAUCUUUAUUCAUUUGAGGCGAGUUUCCUUUUGAUUGCAACAUGGAAUCGUGUUAAAGCAAAGGCGUCUGCACUAAAUCGUAAUAACCCAGCAACGUUCCAACUGGCUAUCGUUUCAAAUGGUGUACGGACUUAUUCCUUAACAAUAUACGGACAUGAAUUGAUGAACUGGGCUUUAACGUCGAGAGAUAAAACAAUUCCUGUAUGGAUCGGUCACGCCGGAGAGAAUGGAACCACAUUCAACCACUUGUUCUCCUUCAAACCGCAGGCACUUCGGAUGGAUUUGGGUUGUAAAUCAGGAGGAAUUAGUGGACUCUGUUUGAAGAACAUUGAUGAAAACAUCUCCGUAUUAAGCCACCAUAGUGUUGACUGUAUAAAGUGGUACAAUAAAAACCGUAACCGAAAACAGAACAUUAAUCUCAUCUCACAACGUCUACCUAUGUGCCCAUGUGACGUCGAUCUUGCCCGAUGGGACCCGUGGUUUUGGCCAAUUCAGACCCAAGUGCGUCAGCAAAAUAACAAUAGUGUGUGCGUUGACAUGAUGCUACGAGAAGCUUUC